RNAcentral lists this ribosomal RNA (812 nucleotides) under uncultured Pseudomonadota bacterium. RNAcentral's name for it is "bacterial SSU rRNA". It matches the Rfam family "Bacterial small subunit ribosomal RNA", at positions 60 to 850 of the family's 1533-position model. Lineage: Bacteria; Pseudomonadati; Pseudomonadota. The record is from RNAcentral.
AGUCGAACGCGAAAGUUCCGCAAGGGAUGAGUAGAGUGGCAAACGGGUUUUUAACACGUGGGUGACCUGCCUUCGAGUGGGGGAUAACGUCCCGAAAGGGACGCUAAUACCGCAUAACAUCCUGCCUUUGAAGAGGUGGCGAUCAAAGCCGGGGACCGCAAGGCCUGGCGCUGGAAGAGGGGCCCGCGUCCGGUUAGCUAGUUGGUGGGGUAACGGCUCACCAAGGCGACGAUCGGUAGCCGGCCUAAGAGGGCGGACGGCCACACUGGGACUGAGACACGGCCCAGACUCCUACGGGAGGCAGCAGUGGGGAAUUGUUCGCAAUGGGCGCAAGCCUGACGACGCAACGCCGCGUGGAGGAUGAAGACCUUCGGGUCGUAAACUCCUUUCGAUCGAGACGAAUGGCCUCGAGGUGAACAGCCUGGAGGAAUGACGGUACCGAGAGAAGAAGCCCCGGCUAACUCCGUGCCAGCAGCCGCGGUAAUACGGGGGGGGCAAGCGUUGUUCGGAAUUACUGGGCGUAAAGGGCUCGUAGGCGGCCAACUAAGUCAGACGUGAAAUCCCUCGGCUUAACCGGGGAACUGCGUCUGAUACUGGAUGGCUUGAAUCCGGGAGAGGGAUGCGGAAUUCCAGGUGUAGCGGUGAAAUGCGUAGAUAUCUGGAGGAACACCGGUGGCGAAGGCGGCAUCCUGGACCGGCAUUGACGCUGAGGAGCGAAAGCCAGGGGAGCAAACGGGAUUAGAUACCCCGGUAGUCCUGGCCCUAAACGAUGAAUGCUUGGUGUGGCGGGUAUCGAUCCCUGCCGUGCCGAA